RNAcentral lists this unclassified non-coding RNA (352 nucleotides) under Hevea brasiliensis (rubber tree). Lineage: Eukaryota; Viridiplantae; Streptophyta; Magnoliopsida; Malpighiales; Euphorbiaceae. The record is from RNAcentral.
CGGGUAUACAUGCCCCACCUUCUGGGUUCUGCUGUUCUUUCCAUAUUCGCCCUGUCACCCUAAGCUUUAACUCUUUCCUAUCCCCUCCAGAGAAGAAAAGAGCCAUAUUCCUCUGUAUAAUGAGGCCAUCAUGGCUAUCUCUGACCUUCCUGUGGCUAUCUCUAAUGCUCCGCGGGGUGCCUUCCCAAAUGAGUUUUCGGCCAUUUCCCCCAACCUCCAAGCUAUAGCUGUAGUUACGGGCUUCUGUCUCAUCACCCAUAAAACGAAGGAAUGCCAUAUAAACAGGUGCCAUCCCAAGCUGGAAAGCUUCAAAAUGCAGACAAAAGUACUGGCCAAAACAGUGGAAAACAGU